GACACAUGGAGCAUUAUGGUGACAGUGAAUACAAUCAUUGCAAAACCGUCUAUUAUAAACUCUCCCAGUCGCUUCUGUGUGUAUCCUUGGACUUUUUUUCCCCCACAAUUUGUCAAAGGCUGUUGGAGCCACGUUGAAAGCCAAGGUGAUUUUUUUUAUGUAAUUUUCACAACAUAUUUUAUGUAACAGGUUGCCAAGGCAAAUCAGCAGAAUUUCAUGUUUUCAGGGUUGUUCAGGUAGCUCAUGUUUAAACACCCAUCAAAACUAAAAAAUAUGAUCAUUUUAGAAAAAGAACUUUAUUAAUCCCUGAAAAAAAAAAUUCAAUAUCUAAAAUUUAAAAAUGUUACGUGGCAUUAAAAACUAUUUUUGAUACAAGUAAUCGGAUUGCGAUUGGAAAGUGUAUUUUUGAAUUUAGGCGUGAUAAACCUUAUUUCAUACUUAUAAGGAAGGUAUAUGCCUGUUAUUUUCACCAAGCCCCUAAACCUCAUUACUUUGUAUGUAUAAUCUUGUAGACUGUUCUUGUUUGUUGAAAAUAACAAGAACAGGAGCAUUAAAUAAAAUAAAAGUUUAGUUGAUAUUUUUAACAUCUUUAAAUGACCCACUCCAAUUAAAAUCUUGUUUUUCUUGUUGUCUACAUGUUCAUAUGGCAUUUUUCUGAUACUACAGGACAUAUCGUGAGAAAAAGCAGGAUCAGAUACAGUAAGAUUUCCUAUGUAACCAAUUCAAGCUCCGCCUCCAGAGCCCCGCUAUGCAGGCCAGGCUUGGAGAAAUAGAGAAUGAUAGCGAAACAAGCAUCUGUGUUAGCGGAUUGAAAUGCUCGUAAGAAAGCAAAUCAUGAUUUUAACUUUAAAUCGUGUCUCUAAAGACACAAGUUAGCUGAAAAGCUCCUAUAUUACCUGUUUCUUCUACUACACUGGCAAUGUUAUCAUAUCACUGAUCAUGAAAUGCUGUUUGAUGUGGUACAGGAAGAGACUGUCGAUGCAUUUGCAGUCAUGGCCUGAAGAGGGAAAUGCAGGCUGUUUAACAGAAGGUGCUAGCAGUGCUCAAUAUGUCUUUGUCUCAUGUUUGGCUAAUUGCGGCAUGGUGCCUGUGUCAGCCCUUUGGCAAGCUAUCACAUGCAGGAACACACUGGCUCAGGCUCACAGUCUCACGCAGACAUCCCCAUUAACAAGCAUGUACAUACGUAGAUGAGGUAAUGCAAAAUGAAGAAGAAGUUAACUUUUUCACAAUCCGUAGUGAUGAAUAAGCUUCUGAUGACAAUAAAAGCAACAAGUUUGUGAAAGGUUUUGGCAGGAAAAUGAAGGAAUUCCAUUUCAGGCUUGGGUUUAAUAUGAACACCGCAGCAUUUUCAGUAAAUCUCUCCCUACUGUAAUGUCUUCGUCAUCCUUAUGAAACUACUUCUUUUCAUCUUUUCACUCAUACUGCAGUGACUUCUCGAUGAGUCAAAGGAGGUGAAAAGGCCACAGUGCAACAGCGUCUUCGGAGCUGUUUCAAAUCUAGCCCGUUCAAUCACAGACCUCAUCAGCGUACGUGUUGAUGUGGGAGGCAGGCGGAAGUAAAAAACAAACCCUCUCAUUCCCAGUUAGAACAUUUUUGUCUACAGUAUACGGCCCACUCUUCCUGAGGUGAGACCUGUGUGUCUGUGGGUCACAGGGGAAAUUAUUUCUUCUUAUUUGUUAGCUGUGGUUUUUUUAUUGUGUUAGCCUUUCAAUUGGAACAUUUAUUUUUCCAUAGUGGAGCUUAAUGAGCUGCCUGGUACUGUGGCUGUGUCCACACAGGACCCAAUUAAUUCAACAUGAGGACCAUCACUCUUCUUCCCCACUCACUUUGGUAGUCUAUGUCUUUUACUCCCCUGGAACACAGGAGCAUGGAGUGAGAGAUGGUUUCAUUCAUUUUUUUCUUACCUGUUAAUUGUGGGAUGAGUAUGUCAGAGCAAAGUUUCGUUUGUGUGGGGGGAGAAUUAGAUUACUUCCUCUAGAGAUACGAAAUAGGAAAUAACAUUUAGAGUUCUUCAGUAAUUUUUUGGCCAAAGGGAUGGCAGGCGGACUUUGCGUGAGACAAGGAGAGCACCUUUUGACUGCCAGUUGCAUUUGGGCAUGUCUUAUCAGGAUAAUAAACAAGCAAAUACAAGAAGUUGUUGUUUGUGUAUUUUCUGGUGGUGUGCUCUACCAUUUGUAGAAGACCAUUCUGUGUCCCCGUUGACUACCUCUGAACCUUUCCAACUUAGUCUGAUUGGUUGAACUGCAAACGGAUGACUGGGUAUUCUCAGUCCCUCCGUUUCUUGGACAGACACCAACUGUGAGGUGUAAUGCUUGCGUUCCAGUUACUUCGGAAGUGGGAUGACACCUGAGUUGACUGCGUUCCACUUAACGAGUCGGAAAACCAAGAUAGACGCCUACAGUUACCCAUUGUUAGCUGUUGUUUACAAUUGUCAGCUGUCGUUAGCCACUGUCAGUUGUUAGCGGUUGUCAGUUGUUGUUGGCGAUACCUGUUGUAAACAACGCAUAACACAGUAUGUUACUCUACAAACACCAAAGCACCGUGUUCACAGUUGGACGUUGGGCAGUACAACAUACACCACCUAUUAAAUUUCACAAAAACAAACAGAAGUGCUACUAAAUUAUACAUUACGAGAGCUUUCACGUUUACUCUUUACUGUUGAUGCACUGCGCUGCCAUCUUGGAUUAUGAUGUUGUUGUCAAGUCAGGGUUUGUCAGGAUUGAUGGUGAGUUGGGAAUCCGACUCCAGGGGGGGCGUUCCAGAUGAAUUUCUGACUCCGAGCUUGGAAAUUCCGACUUCCAAGUACAACAGGAAUGCAGCAUUAUUACCAACCCGUACCGCUUGUGGCCUCUCACUAAGGAAGGCCAGCAACCAGUUGCACAGUGAGGUGUUGAGUCCUAGCUGGUCUAGUUUGAGGAUGAGAUAUUGUGGGAUGAUAGUGUUGAAUGUGGAACUGAAAUCUAAGAACAGCAUUCAUACAUAUGAGUCCUUAGUGACCAGGGGCCUCAUGUAUCAACGCUUGCGGCGCAAGAAAACCUUGCGUACGCCAAAAUCGGCGCACACGUCCAGAUUUAUCAUCGCGAAAGCGUCGGUUCCAGCGCUAAUCAACGCAAAGUCAGGAGGUGGUGUAGAAAUUGGCGUUGAGCUGGAUAUUUGCGUUGACUGUGAUUCGCACUUUGGCGACGCUGUGUGGCGGUGUUUGGUGACUCACUAUGUGACAAGCGUGCACCACAUCCCCGUGGCCGGGCAGCACAUCGCCCCACAUGACGAACCAGCAGCAGACGGAGGGAUGCGAGCUGAUCCCUGCCGGACCGCCGUCCUCGCGCGGGAGAAUCUCAUCGCCACAGUGUGAAUGGGUAAGAAGUGAAUACACAGUUCAAUGAGCCAAAUUAAUUUAUUUUCUCCACCAGACGCUCGAGGAAAUUUACGAGCCGGUCCAGCCGCUCUUUGAUCCCCGCGAUCCCCCUGAUGAUUUCUUCCUGCGAUUGCAGGACCCCCUCCGCGAGGACCCUUCCACUGCGUCCGGGUGGU
Non-coding RNA from Xyrichtys novacula (pearly razorfish), 3531 nucleotides. Lineage: Eukaryota; Metazoa; Chordata; Actinopteri; Labriformes; Labridae. The record is from the annotation of a GenBank genome assembly.